UGGAGAGUUUGAUCCUGGCUCAGAGUGAACGCUGGCGGCGUGCCUAAUACAUGCAAGUCGAACGGACAAGUAAGAGCUUGCUCUUAUGAGUUAGUGGCGCACGGGUGAGUAAUGUAUAGCUAAUCUGCCCUACACUAGAGGACAACAGUUGGAAACGACUGCUAAUACUCUAUACUCCUCUCUAGCAUAAGUUAGAUAGGGAAAGUUUUUCGGUGUAGGAUGAGGCUAUAUUGUAUCAGCUAGUUGGUGAGGUAAUGGCUCACCAAGGCUAUGACGCAUAACUGGUCUGAGAGGAUGAUCAGUCACACUGGAACUGAGACACGGUCCAGACUCCUACGGGAGGCAGCAGUAGGGAAUAUUGCUCAAUGGGGGAAACCCUGAAGCAGCAACGCCGCGUGGAGGAUGACACUUUUCGGAGCGUAAACUCCUUUUGUUAGGGAAGAACAAUGACGGUACCUAACGAAUAAGCACCGGCUAACUCCGUGCCAGCAGCCGCGGUA
This 500-nucleotide ribosomal RNA is filed under the name Campylobacter curvus. RNAcentral describes it as "bacterial SSU rRNA". It matches the Rfam family "Bacterial small subunit ribosomal RNA", at positions 1 to 522 of the family's 1533-position model. The record is from RNAcentral. Lineage: Bacteria; Pseudomonadati; Campylobacterota; Epsilonproteobacteria; Campylobacterales; Campylobacteraceae.